Molecule: ribosomal RNA, 1503 nt
Filed under: Candidatus Magasanikbacteria bacterium RIFCSPHIGHO2_02_FULL_50_9b
Lineage: Bacteria; Candidatus Magasanikiibacteriota
Description: bacterial SSU rRNA
Rfam family: Bacterial small subunit ribosomal RNA
Source: RNAcentral
UUAACUGAGAGUUUGAUCCUGGCUCAGGAUGAACGCUGGCGGCGUGGCUAAGGCAUGCAAGUCGAGCGGAUUUUGUUUUGUAGCAAUACAAAACACGAUCAGCGGCAGACGGGUGCGUAACACAUUGGUAAUCUUCCCUCGAGUCGUGCAUAGCUUUCCGAAAGGAAAGGUAAUUCACGAUGGACAUGUGGGGUCAUAUGACAUUCACAUGUAAAGCAGCAAUGCGCUCGAGGAGGAGCCUAUGGCCUAUCAGCUAGUUGGUGAGGUAAAAGCUCACCAAGGCUAUGACGGGUAGGGGGCGUGAGAGCGUGGCCCCCCUCACUGGGACUGAGACACUGCCCAGACACCUACGGGUGGCUGCAGUCGCGAAUAUUCGGCAAUGGGCGAAAGCCUGACCGAGCGACGCCGCGUGCGGGAUGAAGGCCUUCGGGUCGUAAACCGCUUUUACUAGGGACGAAUUUUGACGGUACCUAGCGAAUAAGAGGUUGCUAACUCUGUGCCAGCAGCAGCGGUAAUACAGAGACCUCAAGCGUUAUCCGGAUUUAUUGGGUGUAAAGGGUCCGCAGGCGGCAUGUCAAGUUACUCGUUAAAUCGUUGGGCUUAACCCAACGGCUGCGAGUAAGACUGGCAAGCUAGAGACUGGGAGAGGCACGUGGAAUUUGUGGUGUAGUCGUAAUAAGCGUUGAUAUCACAAGGAACACCAAAGGCGAAGGCAGCGUGCUGGAACAGUUCUGACGCUCAGGGACGAAAGCGUGGGGAGUGAAAGGGAUUAGAUACCCCUGUAAUCCACGCCCUAAACGAUGAUUACUAGAUAUUGGAAGUAUCGACCCUUCCAGUGUCGUCUAAAAAAGCUAACGCGUUAAGUAAUCCACCUGAGGAGUACGGUCGCAAGACUAAAACUCAAAGGAAUAGACGGGGACCCGCACAAGCGGUGGAGCAUGUGGUUUAAUUCGAUGGUAAGCGAGGAACCUUACCCAGGCUUGAACUUCAACUGCAAAUCCUAUGAAAGUAGGACUUCUUCGAGAGUGUUGGAGAGGUGCUGCAUGGUUGCCGUCAGCUCGUGUUGUGAAAUGUACCCUUAAGUGGAGUAACGAGCGCAACCCCUGUGUUAUGUUAAAUGUACAUAACAGACUGCCCGCGUAAGCGGGAGGAAGGCGGGGAUGACGUCAAAUCAGCAUGGCCUUUACGUCUGGGGCCACACACGUGCUACAAUGGGGUAAAACAAUGGGUCGCCAAACCGCAAGGUGGAGCUAAUCCCAGCAAAAUACCCCUCAGUUCAGAUUGCGGGCUGCAAUUCGCCCGCAUGAAGCCGGAAUCGCUAGUAAACGCAAAUCAGCCUCGUUGCGUUGAAUACGUUCUCGGGUCUUGUACUCACCGCCCGUCAAGUCAAGGGAGUUGGUAAUACCCAAAGGCCCCGCAAGGGGACUAAGGUAGGACCAGCAACAAGGACUAAGUCGUAACAAGGCAUCCGUAGCGGAAGCUGUGGAUGGAUCACCUCCUUUC